This is a long non-coding RNA of Gordionus sp. m RMFG-2023, 602 nucleotides long. RefSeq lists it as uncharacterized. NCBI's taxonomy places the organism in Eukaryota, Metazoa, Nematomorpha, Gordioida, Chordodea, Parachordodidae. The record is from RefSeq and is a predicted model, not a curated record. The transcript is spliced from 3 exons.
UCUAAAUCCAUAUAAUAUAAUUUUAGCUACUGGUACAUAAUCAUGAUGAAUAAUUUCUGAUUUCAUUCUAAAAAAACAUAUAAAUAGUUACAAAUGAUAAUAAACAACGAGAUGAUGGUCAAGCAAACGAUUAGACAAUCAUAACAAGCUGCAAAUAAGCCAAAAUAAUGAAGAAACCAAAUAACUACUGAACCAAACAAACAACACAUCACUAUCGAUUAUUUUUUGCAAAAUCACGGAUACUUCAUAAUUUACCAGAUGACAAUUUAAAUAUAAACAAAGAAUUAGCCGAAACUGACAUCGAAACAUACAUAAGAUUGUUAUCAAAGAAUAUACACACUCUGAUCUAAAACAUUUGGAGUGAGCAAGACAAAAUAAGAUGCCACAUUUUAAUAUAAAACUAUGGAUUUUAUGAUCAAAAUCGAUAAGAAACUCCUUGAACACAAAAGAUGUGAGACCCCAGCCGGCCGUUAUACAAGUUUCCACAAUCUCGUCUAUUCGUGAAGAGCGAGAAGCCAAAGGCAAUACUUGAAUCCUACCAAAAAUUUUAGGCAGAUUAUUAGUUAGUUUCAAUAGGGCGAGGUCGUGAUCGGACUCUUCAG